This is a non-coding RNA of Odocoileus virginianus texanus, 3644 nucleotides long. The record is from RefSeq and is a predicted model, not a curated record. NCBI's taxonomy places the organism in Eukaryota, Metazoa, Chordata, Mammalia, Artiodactyla, Cervidae.
UUUUUUAAAAAGUCAUUAAAAAAAAUGGGAGCAAGGACUUGGGACUUCCUGGUGGUCCAGUGGUUAAGACUUCUAUUGCAGGGGGUGCCAGAUCAAUCCCUCCUCAGAUAGCAAAGAUCCCACAUGCCUUGUGGCCAAGAAACCAAAACAUAAAACGAAACAAUAUUGUAACACAUUCAAUAAAGAAUUUAAAAUUGUCCACAGUAAAAAAAAACUUUAAAAAAAAAGAGCAAGGGCUAUGGAAUUCAGACUGGCUGGUUUGAAUCUUGACACUGCUAACUGUAGGCUGUGUGAGCUCAAGCAAGAUCCUUUACCUUUAUUAGUUUCCAUUCCUUCAUCUAGAAAAGAGUGUAAUAACAUUUCUCUGUUGUAGGGUAGUCAUAAAGAUGAAAUAAUAUUGUCCAUAUGAAUUAACUACUAUAAUUAAUUAUAAGCUUGGAACUUCAACUGUUCAUGGAAACAUUAACUAGAUGACAUAUCACAAUCGACUGACUGAUCCUAGUGGGUUGUGCCAUUGUGGGGUAGGAUGCCUCCCAUAGAGAAGAAUACAACCAGCUUGCUCCAGAAUUGCCAGGCAAAUUAAAAGUAUGUUUGUAUUUUUUUAUCCCCUAGGAGGCUUAUAGACUGCUAAAGGCUUCAUUAAGAUCUCAGGUCAUCAGCUAUGGUGACUUUAGUGAAAAAGUGGCUGAAACAUUUUAUAACAUGGGCAAGAUCUGCUUUGCCAAAGGAGAGCUUAGAAAGGCAGGUCAGCUGCUAAGGAAGUGUCUGAUGAUUCAAAUCCUCAUAUAUGGAGAUGAGCACAGUAAAAGCAGGGACACAAAAAAUCUCCUGACCCUAAUGCAGAGGGCGAGUAACAGUUCAUCCAGAUGGAGAAGAGAAGACAUCCCAGGAAGAAGGCACUCUCUAUGCAAAAUCUCAGAGGCCUGACAGAGGGCAGCAUUUGGAAGGAAUGGUGAGUUCUUCAUGGCUGCUCUAUGGGGCAGCAUUUCCUAAACGGUACUGUAAGCAAUGUUGAUUCCAAGGGACGGAGGAGGAAGAAAGGCUCUGUGGCAGAAAGUGUAGGAAGAAACCAAAUUGAAUUACACAAAGUGACACACGUUUAUUUCCUGAAGUACUUCCCAGAACUUUUUACACACUAAACUUCCCCCACUGGCAUGUUGGGAAGAAAUUAACUUUUAAAACACCACUGUAUUUAUAUUUACCUGAAUUCUUUGUAAACUGGUCAGUGAUAUAAAUUUUGGCAAAUAAAACCUUAUUUAGAACCACAGAGAUAAUAUCUUAGGUCUAGUUUUAUUUAAAGCAAAAGGUAAAUAUAGCACAUGUUUGAACUGAGGGUACAUGAACACUUUGGCAGUUUGGUAACAAAUUUGGUUCCUGCUUUAGGGCAUAAUAACUUCUUUAUGAAAGAUGACUAUCUCACCAGUGAACUAUUUUACCUGAUCAUAGAAACAUGACUUCAACACAGCCUGAUGAACUAAUUUUUCUUUAUGAUUCAUGGUGGUUAAGAGCUCUAGGCAUGGAGACAGGACUGUUCAGACCCCAGCACCACCACUUUCUAGCUAUGUAUAAUUCUGGUUUUCUCAUCAUAAGAUGGGGAUAACAGUACCUAUCUUUUAGUGUUGCUGCAAAAAUGAGAUAAUGUGUGUAAAGUGGUUAUCAGGUAAUAAAUGACAGUUAUUUUCGUAUUUACUGAAACCUGGGCUUUGACUUUAUCACCUUCUAGCUAUACCAUUGGCAGUGAAGGAAAAUCAGACAGGGGCUAGGCACUACAAAGCUACUGUGAAGCUGGUGUGGAAAACAUCUUGCCUGUUAACAGCUCAGAAGUGAGGUAGAGCUCACCCCUGGAAACACUGUAUCAUAGAGAAGAGAGUCUAACACAGUUUCUUAAAUGCACAGAUGAUGCAUCCAUUGUAUCAGCCAGAGGCCUUUCAGUGACCUGAUUUCAGGAAAGGGGACUCCUGCCAUCAUGUGGCGAGAGAGAGCGAGGCCCAAGGUUGGUUUCUAGUUGCAGUCCCUAGCAGAGAGCCCUCUCAGAUCUCUGCCCACCCCUGAUUUUAUGAGACCCCUGGGCAAUUGAUUUAAUUUGUACCUACUUUUUUUUUUCAAAUUUGGAAUCAUAUCAUCUCUUGGUUUACUGAUCAGGAAAUUAAAGUGCCAGAUAGCUUUCUGUAUUUUAUAUGGUCCAGUAGGAGACAGAAUGAACCAGUCUUUACUGGGGCUUGCAUAUAAAAAAAAAAAAACCCUCAAGUUGCUCAUAAAAUUUUAUAUCUCAUAUUUCUGUGGAACGGAUUUGUUUUCAGGCAAAUGGGGCUGUGAAAACCACACUUGUUGCAGGCUUGAGGUCUAAAUAGGAGGUGACUGAGGAACACUUAAUAGAAACCGGGUUUCUGGAUCAGAAAAUCUCUUGGACUAGACUACUUCUAGUUCCAGGCCAACUUCUCCAGAAUCAGGCAACCAGCGUAUGGAAAUCUUAAAGGCUGGGAAUGAGGAUGACAGAUCCUCUUUUUAGCAAUUACAGUGCCUCUGGGCUCUAAUCUCUGUGCUCAUGAGGAGGAAUCACCUGAAAAGCACAAACAAUAUACAAAAGGCCCUAAGUUAGGUAAUUUUUUUUUCAGCUGUGAUUAAAUGCAAUCCAGAUAUCUUAGAUACACCCCUCACCUGCUGUCUGAAUCAAAGGAAGUCCCCUGCUCUUUAGGGAGAAAACCUAAGACUCUAGUACCAUUUUGGAGGCCCUUUAGCAGAGUUAGCAUUUUAGGGGGAUAGUCACUUGGUAAAAUAGUUGCCUCAGACUGAGUUCAGCCUUCUAGCUCAAUAAGGCAGUGAUUGGUGCUAGAAAGAGGGAGAGAUGUCAAAAACCAAGAAAAAAAGGCACAAAUGGUUUUCUCCUUUCCUCUAGGUCUUCUGUUAUCAGUAAAGGGAAAACCUCUAUACAGAAUAGUCAACAAUAAAGCCAACCUGUUGAUAACAAGCAUUCUUGACCACAAAUAUAUUUACCAACACCGAUAGCAGUGGCAGAUCAAAAGCAGAACCAAGGAUUCUGGCGGGGGGGAAAGAUACAUUUAACAAGGGCAUUACAGGUAAAAUACAUAUGGCCAUUAGAAACCACGAUUCUGUUACCUGAGAGGAAGGAAUCUUUUUUAGACACAUGCUUUAAGUUAGUUUCACAUAUCACUGGGACUCCCAUUACCUUCCAUUUCCGCUUUUCUAAUUUCAUUCUUUCCCAUUCUGACUUUUAAAAAAAGUUCUGCAGUGCAUAAGUAGUUUAUGCAUGAGCAUUUUAAUACAGUACUUGUAAACAUCUUUAGCCAUAACCUCUUUGGGGUCCCUAAAAUUGCUUUGUGAGGAAAUGUUUGACCUUCUGGAAGACUGACCUAACCUGGUCUACUGAAGUCAUACCAUGUUAGAGCCAUAGGCCUUUUUGAUUUUCGUAAAUGAAGAAAACAGGGACAAGAGGGAUUGAUUCAUUCACGGUCAGUCUAGUGACUAUAAAGCAGAUAGUCACCUGAAUCACAGCUUUCCAUCCUGCUUUGCUGCCCCUACCGACUGGAUUAAAAAGACUUGGGAAUGGAAUGCUCACCAAGGUUGUUAAAAAAGAAGCCCCGAACGGGCUUCUCUGGUGGCUCAGACGGUAAAGAAUCUGCCUG